GAUGAACGCUGGCGGCGUGCCUAAUACAUGCAAGUCGAGCGAACAGACGAGGAGCUUGCUCCUCUGACGUUAGCGGCGGACGGGUGAGUAACACGUGGAUAACCUACCUAUAAGACUUGGAUAACUUCGGGAAACCGGAGCCAAUACCGGCUAAUAUAUUGAACCGCAUGGUUCAAUAGUGAAAGACGGCUUUGCUGUCACUUAUAGAUGGAUCCGCGCCGCAUUAGCUAGUUGGUAAGGUAACGGCUUACCAAGGCAACGAUGCGUAGCCGACCUGAGAGGAUGAUCGGCCACACUGGAACUGAGACACGGUCCAGACUCCUACGGGAGGCAGCAGUAGGGAAUCUUCCGCAAUGGGCGAAAGCUUGACGGAGCAACGCCGCGUGAGUGAUGAAGGUCUUCGGAUCGUAAAACUCUGUUAUUAGGGAAGAACAAAUGUGUAAGUAACUAUGCACGUCUUGACGGUACCUAAUCAGAAAGCCACGGCUAACUACGUG
Molecule: ribosomal RNA, 497 nt
Filed under: uncultured bacterium
Lineage: Bacteria
Description: partial 16S ribosomal RNA
Rfam family: Bacterial small subunit ribosomal RNA
Source: RNAcentral